RNAcentral lists this ribosomal RNA (492 nucleotides) under uncultured bacterium. Its description in RNAcentral is "partial 16S ribosomal RNA". It matches the Rfam family "Bacterial small subunit ribosomal RNA", at positions 29 to 507 of the family's 1533-position model. The record is from RNAcentral.
AGUGAACGCUGGCGGUAGGCCUAACACAUGCAAGUCGAACGGCAGCACAGUAAGAGCUUGCUCUUACGGGUGGCGAGUGGCGGACGGGUGAGGAAUACAUCGGAAUCUACUUUUUCGUGGGGGAUAACGUAGGGAAACUUACGCUAAUACCGCAUACGACCUACGGGUGAAAGCAGGGGAUCUUCGGACCUUUCGCGAUUGAAUGAGCCGAUGUCGGAUUAGCUAGUUGGCGGGGUAAAGGCCCACCAAGGCGACGAUCCGUAGCUGGUCUGAGAGGAUGAUCAGCCACACUGGAACUGAGACACGGUCCAGACUCCUACGGGAGGCAGCAGUGGGGAAUAUUGGACAAUGGGCGAAAGCCUGAUCCAGCCAUACCGCGUGGGUGAAGAAGGCCUUCGGGUUGUAAAGCCCUUUUGUUGGGAAAGAAAAGCAGCAGGUUAAUACCCCGCUGUUCUGACGGUACCCAAAGAAUAAGCACCGGCUAACUUCGUG